AUUUUAUGAUGAAAAAAAUUUUUCAGUUCUGCUUCUGCAAAUUUAUUGAAGAUAACAAAAUACCUUACCAAAUCCUCUGAUAU
Molecule: small nucleolar RNA, 83 nt
Filed under: Aspergillus glaucus CBS 516.65
Lineage: Eukaryota; Fungi; Ascomycota; Eurotiomycetes; Eurotiales; Aspergillaceae
Source: RNAcentral